GUGGGCAUACACUGGGUAUGACAGAUUAAUUUAUACAUCUGUGUUCAAAAUUGCAGGGCCCAGUUGAGCACCUGGAAGGAGGCCUGGUCCCUGUGCUGGAGACCAAACAUUUAGAUGAUGUGUGCAGAGGACAGACCUACAGUAAGAUAGAUAAAUGAAUGAAACGUAUGACCUGAAAACUGGUGAAUCAUUUGAGGAAAUCAGUGGACCAUUCUUACAAAGCUGAUAAUCUUUGGAGUGUUCAAAGGCAGACAACCCUGGUUUACGUUUGCUCUUGUGAAAGGCAGUCCAUGCUACGGGCAGAGCAGAGCAAGACCAACACAAAGUGCUCCUGACAGUCCCCUUCAGAAAUACCAACAGAGAGCAACAAUGUAAAAGAGCAACCACAGGAUCUAAAGGGAACUUUUCCAAACACAGGAGCAGAGACAUACUGGAAAGAGAAGAGCCUUAAUAUCUGCCUGGUCGGAGAGGACACUGCAACAGUGAAAAGUUUGGCAGUGUGCGGGGAGGGCAGCUGGCUGGUCACGGUGUCUACAUCCCUGCCCAAAGUCCUUAGAAGUCCAAGGAGAUAAAGGUUGG
RNAcentral lists this long non-coding RNA (579 nucleotides) under Otus sunia (Oriental scops-owl). RNAcentral's name for it is "lncRNA (ENSOSUG00000001525.1)". Lineage: Eukaryota; Metazoa; Chordata; Aves; Strigiformes; Strigidae. The record is from RNAcentral.